UACAUAUUGUAUACAGUUGCUACAUGUUGAUGUUUGGGGUUACAAUGCACUCACUGAAAUCAUGCUACUUCUGCUAAUAAAAAACAAUGAAUGAUUUAUUUCACUAGAUAACAACACAGACACACACACGUGUUUACAUAAUUUAAAUUAAUUGUUAUUGCAAAUAAUUAAAAGCACCGACACUGAGGCAAGAAAAUCUCAGCGAAAGCUUCGAAAUUCUUUUGGUCCAAUUGGAGUCAUGCAUAAUUUGCG
This 252-nucleotide long non-coding RNA is filed under the name Mytilus galloprovincialis (Mediterranean mussel). The record is from RNAcentral. Lineage: Eukaryota; Metazoa; Mollusca; Bivalvia; Mytilida; Mytilidae.